This is a long non-coding RNA of Syngnathus acus (greater pipefish), 1922 nucleotides long. RefSeq lists it as uncharacterized. Lineage: Eukaryota; Metazoa; Chordata; Actinopteri; Syngnathiformes; Syngnathidae. The transcript has 2 exons. The record is from RefSeq and is a predicted model, not a curated record.
GUUGCCAUUAGUGCAAUUUGAAAGCAAGUAAUUGACCCCGUAAGUGCUGGCCUUAUUGUCACUUUUCCUGCGGCCAGGGUGGUGGUGGUGAUGACGAUGAUGAUGGUGGUGGAGGUGAGGGUGAGAGUGAUUCACAGCGUGCAGCCGGAGGGGGGACUGUCCGCCGCACGCGAUUCCAGCGAGGAAGACCCAGUCUUGGGGGACACUGCUUUGCCUUCACCCGCGUCGGAGGCCGGGGUGAAAAAGUUGGAUAUCGCCAUGCCCAGGGAGGAUAUCGCGGCGUCGUUGACACAAGCCGAGCCGCCGUUCCUGAUGCUGUGAUGGCCGCUGCUGCUGCCCAAGCUCUUGCUCGAUACCACGGCAUUUUGCAACACGUCCAGCGCAGCGUAAUUGACACACUGGUUGUGGACGUGCUGAGCGGAGAACGUGCGUACUCCCUGAGACGUUUCCCAGACGUGCAUCCAUAAGGCGUUCGCCGGUCCUUUCUGCUCGGGCUGAAUCCAAGCUACCCUCGGAUCCAUUCAACUUGGUUCUCCGGUGACCCCCCCCUUGUUGGGUAGAACGCCAGCGAGCCCGUCGUGAUGCCGUGUGCAGAGUCACCGACCCGAGAGAUGUCCCUAAAGCGUCUCGGGGACUACGAAAAUUACGCGUGCACCCGAGUUUGGACCAUGGGUAAAGUCGCUCCCACUACGCCGCUAGAUAGGGGGAAAAAGCUACGCUGAUUUCUAUUGGGAUUCAAUAUGGCGUAUUCUCUUCAAAUCUUCGCGCAUGCGCGGUAGCUGGGGACCCUUAUUCAACCACUGCGCUCUCAUUCGGAAGCCAUCGUGAGGCCAGCUGCGGUACUACAUCUGAAUUUAAAUACUGUAAAUAAAAAAGGAAAUCAUUAUUGUGCACGAAUUAACAUACAUAACAUACAUUAUAUUUGCAUAUAUUUAUCAAACACAAUAAAUGUACUGUGCAGUAUUCUAUACCUGUAAAAUUAUACAGGUACUGAAUUUGCACAAGUUAAAAAACUCUAUAAAUAAUGUAAUACUGCAGAUUGUGGCACAUGUCCAGCAGAACAUAACUCACAACCCAAUACACAUAAAGGAUGAUGGAAUAUGAAAUACUCAUGUGGGUCAUAAUCUCAAACCUUUUAUACGCUGCUCACGUACACCUGAGGCUCUCCAGUGACUAUAAACUGAAACACUGAAUAAUCAGAUUUCUAAUCUAAUUUCUAGGUAUCUCCAUUCAGACACGUCUGUGCACGGCAGGUGUUGUCACGCAUCACAAACACCCCCCAGUAACAGCCAUCUCCCAGCCUGCACGUUUUGCGCUUCAACUGUAUGAUGGAGGCGAGGCAUAAAGCUGCACCGUCUGGGAAAGGGAGUAGAAUGUGCACCAUAAAGGGGGAGUGAAGAAGGAAACCUCUUGCAUAAUGUCUACACUCGACCCUGGCUGCUCACGUGUAGCAUGUGACAGAGUCAAGGCAAAAAAAAAAAAACCCUGGAGCAAACUGUGUCAGAUAGGAUAUGUGGCUCUCUUGUAACACACCCAUGCAGGCAUGCACGCAGCUGCUCACUCCCACUGAGUAAAUAGACGCUUGCUUUCCCCUAUCUUUAGCUUAAUCUCACACUGCAGCAUGCCCGGGUAUCAACAGCGACAGGAUUCUUUCGUUGCAUGAGGUUUGCGAAUGCUGCGGCGCCUCUCUGUCAUCGUUUAUCGGAUUACCCACAUCGGUAAGGGCCGGACCGCAUCUGACAGAUGCGACGCAGGAGAGCAGCUUGCAGAUCGGGCACGACAGUACUGUCGGAUGGCGGGGAUGGAUUCAUGCAGUUUGUUUUGCACUAUGUGGCAUGAAUACUAAAGAGGCCCAACAUAUGUUCUGCAAACUGCAAGGCACUUUGAGUAAAACACAAUGCUGCAGCUUUGCGUGAAGGUUA